Molecule: long non-coding RNA, 279 nt
Organism: Rana temporaria (common frog)
Lineage: Eukaryota; Metazoa; Chordata; Amphibia; Anura; Ranidae
Exons: 2
Source: RefSeq, a predicted model, not a curated record
GUUUAUUGUUCUUGUGUUUAGCAACUGUCAUGUGAUGAGAGACGCGGCCGCCAGCUCUUCCAUCUCCAGAGUUUUACUCCAAAGCUUAUUGCGUUCCUGGUUGAUGGCUAAAAGCCAGUGUGGAAAAAACAUCCGUGAAAAGGACUCCGGGAGAGGAACCUGCCUGCCGAAAGUGAAAAUAAAACCUAUAAAAUAAAAUACUAACCUGUCAUAGUGUAAUGGAACAACUGACUCGUCUCCUAUUCCAAAAAUAAACUUCUUUAUAAGUGAUGACAUAAA